RNAcentral lists this transfer RNA (74 nucleotides) under Amylostereum chailletii. RNAcentral's name for it is "tRNA-Val". The record is from RNAcentral. Lineage: Eukaryota; Fungi; Basidiomycota; Agaricomycetes; Russulales; Stereaceae.
GGUUCGAUGGCGUAGUUGGUUAUCGCAUCUGUCUAACACACGGAAGGUCCUCAGUUCGAGCCUGGGUCGAAUCA